This 322-nucleotide ribosomal RNA is filed under the name uncultured eukaryote. RNAcentral describes it as "partial 18S ribosomal RNA". It matches the Rfam family "Eukaryotic small subunit ribosomal RNA", at positions 1470 to 1796 of the family's 1831-position model. The record is from RNAcentral.
CCCUUAGAUGUUCUGGGCCGCACGCGCGCUACACUGAUGCAUUCAACGAGUCCAACCUUGACCGAGAGGUCCGGGUAAUCUUUGAAACUGCAUCGUGAUGGAGCUAGAUUAUUGCAAUUAUUAAUCUUCAACGAGGAAUGCCUAGUAAGCGUGAUUCAUCAAAUCGCGUUGAUUACGUCCCUGCCCUUUGUACACACCGCCCGUCGCUCCUACCGAUUGAAUGCUCAGGUGAGCCAUUCGGACUUUCAUCAUGCUGGUUUCCAGUUUUGAUGAAGGAAAGUCUUGCGAACCUUAUCAUUUAGAGGAAGGAGAAGUCGUAACA